GACGAACGCUGGCGGCGUGCUUAACACAUGCAAGUCGAGCGGUAAGGCUCCUUCGGGAGUACACGAGCGGCGAACGGGUGAGUAACACGUGAGCAAUCUGCCCUUCACUUUGGGAUAACUCCGGGAAACCGGUGCUAAUACCGAAUACGACCACCGAUGGCAUCAUCUGGUGGUGGAAAGUUCCGGUGGUGAGGGAUGAGCUCGCGGCCUAUCAGCUUGUUGGUGGGGUAAUGGCCCACCAAGGCAACGACGGGUAGCCGGCCUGAGAGGGUGACCGGCCACACUGGGACUGAGACACGGCCCAGACUCCUACGGGAGGCAGCAGUGGGGAAUCUUGCGCAAUGGGCGAAAGCCUGACGCAGCGACGCCGCGUGAGGGAUGACGGCCUGGUGU
This 393-nucleotide ribosomal RNA is filed under the name uncultured bacterium. RNAcentral's name for it is "bacterial SSU rRNA". It matches the Rfam family "Bacterial small subunit ribosomal RNA", at positions 28 to 422 of the family's 1533-position model. The record is from RNAcentral.